UUGGACUACUAGGGUAUCUAAUCCCGUUUGCUCCCCUGGCUUUCGCGUCUGAGCGUCAGUACUGGCCCAGAAGGCCGCUUUCGCCACUGGUGUUCCUCCGGAUAUCUACGCAUUUCACCACUACACCCGGAAUUCCGCCUUCCCAUACCACUCUCUAGUUUGGCAGUCUUGAGCAACCUCUCCCAGUUGAGCCGGGAGCUUUCACACCCAACUUACCAUACCGCCUGCACGCGCUUUACACCCAGUAAAUCCGGAUAACGCUCGCCUCCUACGUUUUACCGCGGCGGCUGACAC
This 294-nucleotide unclassified non-coding RNA is filed under the name uncultured Anaerolineaceae bacterium. RNAcentral's name for it is "contains 16S-23S intergenic spacer region". The record is from RNAcentral. Lineage: Bacteria; Bacillati; Chloroflexota; Anaerolineae; Anaerolineales; Anaerolineaceae.